This 143-nucleotide long non-coding RNA is filed under the name Callithrix jacchus (white-tufted-ear marmoset). RNAcentral describes it as "lncRNA (ENSCJAG00000069971.1)". Lineage: Eukaryota; Metazoa; Chordata; Mammalia; Primates; Cebidae. The record is from RNAcentral.
GUUGGGCGGGCGAGCUUCUGACUGAGGGACAGAGGCUAGGAGCGAGAAACUGUUUUUGGUCCCAGCAGGUCUUUUAGUACGUUCGUGCAGCAGAUUUCAAGACUAAGAGAGAAAGACUGCCUCAUCCCUGCAGGAAGAAAAAA